CACAAAGGCAGUAUGAUUCAUUUUGCUUACUAAAUGCCACUCCACACAACUCCAGACAGACACAGACAGCUUCCGAGGCUGCUCCUAAUGUUUAAGUAAGACUGCAUGAUAUAUUGCCCAGUUUUAAUUUCCCAGCUUCUAAAUAAGCAUCACCUUACUCUACAGGCAGCCCGGCUGACUACCAUAGGCUUGCUUAAAUCGGAAAAGACUACUGAGCAUGAGUAAGAGUGGCAGCAUCUAGCCCUUUCUGACUGAGCCAAGGUCACAAAAGUCACUGCAAAGUCCAGAAGAAGAGCUCCAUGGUUGUGACUGUCAUUUCACUUGCUGGGAAGAACGUGCACUGAGAAGAGCACGCGGACAAGGCAAGCGGUUACAGAAAACAGAGCAAUAUGGACAGGACCACCAGACUCCUUUCUACAUGUGAUCUACAGUGCAUCUGAACACCUGUCUGCAGAAGGUGGCAGCAGGUACGUACUACGGCUGCUGCUGCUGCUGGGUAACAGCUGUUCUGAAAGACACAAACCCCGUGGUCCAAGCAUUCAAAUACCUGACUGGGAAUCCUGGCUUCUCUGAUCUCUACAGACAGCGCAGGUAUCAAACAAUCUAGGUACGAAACAAUCUAGAAUUACACUGACCUGACUA
RNAcentral lists this long non-coding RNA (642 nucleotides) under Struthio camelus australis. RNAcentral's name for it is "lncRNA (ENSSCUG00000009383.1)". Lineage: Eukaryota; Metazoa; Chordata; Aves; Struthioniformes; Struthionidae. The record is from RNAcentral.